UCGUGACAGAGGUUAGUUUUACCCUACUGAUGAAUGUCAUCGCAAUAGUAAUUGAACUUAGUACGAGAGGAACNGUUCAUUCNGAUAAUUGGUUUUUGCGGCUGUCUGAUCAGGCAANGCCGCGAAGCUACCAUCCGCUGGAUUAUGGCUGAACGCCUCUAAGUCAGAAUCCAUGCUAGAANGCGAUGAUUCNUGCCNCGCACANACUUAGUNGGNUAANAAUAANGCUNUUCGAGUCGCUGAACCAUAGCAGGCUGGCNACGGUNCGCUUAACGGAAAGGNUUUGUGUGCUUGCCGGNGGAUNGCAAUGUCAANAUGCGCGGGGAUAAAUCCUUUGCAUACGACUUAAAUGUACAACGGGGUAUUGUAAGCAG
This 374-nucleotide ribosomal RNA is filed under the name Neurospora crassa. RNAcentral's name for it is "partial 26S ribosomal RNA". It matches the Rfam family "Eukaryotic large subunit ribosomal RNA", at positions 2971 to 3344 of the family's 3401-position model. The record is from RNAcentral. Lineage: Eukaryota; Fungi; Ascomycota; Sordariomycetes; Sordariales; Sordariaceae.